AUUCAUACAUAUGUGAGUACUUAGUCACCAAAUUAACAAAUUAAAGAGGAGAGAAAAAAAGAAAGGAAAAUGAGUCCUAAAGGCCCUACUGAUUUUCCUGUCAUAGAUUUCUCCAGGUUGGACCUGAAUCCAGGCAGUAAUCCUGAGGAGUGGGAUUCAGUAAAAUCCCAAGUUCUGAAAGCUGCAGAAAAGUAUGGUUGUUUCAAGUUUGUGUCCAAUAAAAUUUCUUCAGAGCUGAGGAAGGCAAUUCUCAGUGAUCUAGAAGAGAUUUUUGCACUUCCUUUAGAGAUCAAAAUGGGUAAUACUUCAGAAAUACCUAAUGCUGGCUACAUUGGAAAAACACCUUUCACACCACUGUUUGAGAGUUUAGGUAUUGUUGAUCCCAUUGCUUUGGAAAACGUCGAAAGCUUAACCAAUGCCCUAUGGCCAGAAGGAAAGCCAAGUUUCAGGUUCGAUUGUUCUUUUCCUCUAUUGCUAUUUAAACUUAAUAUUUACCGUAUUUGUUUUGAUCUAAACAGCAUCUCUGCUCUACUUUUGGCAGCAAUAGCAUACAAUCCUAUUCUAAGCAAAUAUUGGAAAUAGAAAAAAUAAUAAGAACGAUGGUCGUGGAAGGCUUAGGUCUUGAAAAGUACUUGGACGAACACUUGAACUCGAGUGCCUCUUGUCUUAGGGUCAUAAAAUAUGAAAGCCCCAAGACCAAUGAGGCGGAGAUUGGCCUAGUUGCUCACACAGAUCACGGCAUGAUCGCAAUCCUUUAUCAAAAUCAGGUAGAUGGAUUAGAGGUAGAGACCAGAACCAGGGAGUGGAUUGAUGUCAAACUCGAACCUGACCAUUUCGUAGUCAUAAUUGGGGAAUCUUUUCUAGCAUGGACUAAUGGUCGAAUCUACGCUCCGAAUCAUCGUGUUACGAUGACUGGAAAAGAUGUGAGAUACUCAGUUGGAACAUUUACAGCAUUUAAAGCAGGGUACAUGGUAAAAGCUCCGGAAGAGCUAGUGGAUGAAGAGCAUCCCUUACUGUACAAGCCUUUUGAUUUUCUGGAAGUCCUGAAACGCCACCAGGAAGAAGUACAGAAGAGCAGUGAAAAUCCUGAAAAGGCUUUUGCCCCUUUAAAGGCCUAUUAUGGUGCUUGAAAUUGAAAUUGAAACUGAAA
RNAcentral lists this unclassified non-coding RNA (1150 nucleotides) under Hevea brasiliensis (rubber tree). The record is from RNAcentral. Lineage: Eukaryota; Viridiplantae; Streptophyta; Magnoliopsida; Malpighiales; Euphorbiaceae.